AUAUAUGGGGUUAGUGGCGGACGGGUGAGUAACGCGUGGGUAACCUGCCUUACACAGGGGGAUAACACUUAGAAAUAGGUGCUAAUACCGCAUAACGGGGGGAGCCGCAUGGCACCCCCCUGAAAACUCCGGUGGUACAGGAUGGGCCCGCGUCUGAUUAGCUAGUUGGUGAGGUAACGGCCCACCAAGGCGACGAUCAGUAGCCGGCCUGAGAGGGUGGACGGCCACAUUGGGACUGAGACACGGCCCAAACUCCUACGGAAGGCAGCAG
RNAcentral lists this ribosomal RNA (271 nucleotides) under uncultured bacterium. RNAcentral describes it as "partial 16S ribosomal RNA". It matches the Rfam family "Bacterial small subunit ribosomal RNA", at positions 82 to 354 of the family's 1533-position model. The record is from RNAcentral.